RNAcentral lists this long non-coding RNA (259 nucleotides) under Nicotiana benthamiana. RNAcentral's name for it is "long non-coding RNA (NBEN_LNC007200)". The record is from RNAcentral. Lineage: Eukaryota; Viridiplantae; Streptophyta; Magnoliopsida; Solanales; Solanaceae.
AACAAACCACCCUUUCAGAAUUCUCUCCCUUCUCUCUCUUCGAUACUGUUCACCGCCUCCUUUCUUCUUCAAAUCCAUGGCUUCCAUGGAUAUUAACAUGGUAUCAGAGCGGGUCAUUCGACUCUUCUCGUCAAGAGCUAUCAUCCGGUACUAGCCUCGUCGUCUAUCGUUCAAGUUUUCACCAGUUUUCACAAACUAGGGUUUUCUUCGUUUUUCUUCGCAGUCGGUUAGUAUCUCUUCUUCGAUUCAUCAAUUUUGA